AUUCCUUCUGGCUAAUUCUAUCAGUUCUUUCAGAACAAAUGAUGCAACUUCUGGUGUUUAUACCCCAAGUGUCAUCAUGAAGCCCCUGAGGGCAAGUAUGCUGGCUGCAUCUUUACAACGAGCAAUGGGUGUUGGGAAUAAGGGGAAUGCACGCAAUGGAGAGCUCAGCAACCUUCUUCUUGGAAGAAAAAUUCUUGUUGUAGAUGACAAUGGUGUGAACCUCAAA
Molecule: unclassified non-coding RNA, 226 nt
Filed under: Hevea brasiliensis (rubber tree)
Lineage: Eukaryota; Viridiplantae; Streptophyta; Magnoliopsida; Malpighiales; Euphorbiaceae
Source: RNAcentral